UUUCCGUAGGUGAACCUGCGGAAGGAUCAUUACAGAGUUCAUGCCCGAAAGGGUAGACCUCCCACCCUUGUGUAUUAUUACUUUGUUGCUUUGGCGGGCCGUUAGGCUCCGGCCCGACUACCGGCCCCGGCUGGUGAGCGCCCGCCAGAGGACCCAAAACCCUGAAUAUUAGUGUCGUCUGAGUACUAUAUAAUAGUUAAAACUUUCAACAACGGAUCUCUUGGUUCUG
This 229-nucleotide unclassified non-coding RNA is filed under the name plant metagenome. RNAcentral describes it as "partial contains small subunit ribosomal RNA, internal transcribed spacer 1, and 5.8S ribosomal RNA". The record is from RNAcentral.